RNAcentral lists this long non-coding RNA (281 nucleotides) under Populus trichocarpa (black cottonwood). RNAcentral's name for it is "long non-coding RNA (PTRI_LNC002409)". Lineage: Eukaryota; Viridiplantae; Streptophyta; Magnoliopsida; Malpighiales; Salicaceae. The record is from RNAcentral.
UUGUAGGGAAUUCCGACCGGUGAUGUUCUGAUAUUUGCCAAUUGGAGGCUAAGCACACUGACACAAUAUUUAACGUGGUUCGGAAAACCGCCUACAUCCACGGGAGAAGCCAUUGCAUUAUAUAGGGAGAGUACAAGAUUUACAACAAUAGAGGAGGAGGAAUCAUCCCCUCUUUGGCAACUCUCAACCUCACUCUAUUUCUCUCUUUUUAGUGCUGCAAUGGCAGCUACUGCUGGCUGCCUUGGCAGCCCACUCUCUCCUACAUUUCUCACAUCUUUGGC